GCUCUCCCUCUUGCUGUGUGCUCUGUGUGCUCCAUGUUCCUCAGUUUCAAUGUAGUUUGAACUUAAUUCUCGAGUUGUUGAUUUUUGCCUCAUCAAAUUGUUUUGUAUUACUUAUUUUCAGAGGUGGGAAGCACAAAUACUUCGUUACUGUGCUGAAGAACAAUUUUCAGUGUUAGAGUGAGAAGCCUAAUGCCUCUGUAUUCAUGGAGCUGAGGAGGAGCAUCAGCCUAAGUGGCAGGAAUGGUACAUAAUGGAGUGGCCAUGCUGAGCUUGCCUUUUGUCCCGUUUCCCUCGCCUCAUCCUGAACCAGUCUCCGUAGAUGAGUGCCCCUCCCUGAUCAUGGUUCUACCGUCCUGUUAAAAGGGUGCUUUUUCUUCCCCCUGUCGC
Molecule: long non-coding RNA, 387 nt
Organism: Oreochromis aureus
Lineage: Eukaryota; Metazoa; Chordata; Actinopteri; Cichliformes; Cichlidae
Source: Ensembl